This 19110-nucleotide long non-coding RNA is filed under the name Manihot esculenta (cassava). RNAcentral's name for it is "long non-coding RNA (MESC_LNC000438)". The record is from RNAcentral. Lineage: Eukaryota; Viridiplantae; Streptophyta; Magnoliopsida; Malpighiales; Euphorbiaceae.
UACACUAAACCUGCAGAUGAUGUUCCCCAUACAAAGUCUAUCAUCUUGCGGGCUGUGAUUGUGGGGAUUGCCUCAGCCUUUGGCCAUUUGGAGAAGUAUUCCACAGCUACUACUACAAAUUUUUUCUGUCCCGUGGUCUUGGGAAAAGGUCCCAGGAUGUCUAUCCCCCACUGCGAGAAUGGCCACAGGCUGGAAAUGCCGGAUUGAGGAGUGGCUGGGACAUUGAUGGCGUUGGCAAACCUCUGGCAUACAUCGCAUCUUCGGACAAACUCCUCUGCCUCCUUCUUGACAGUGGGCCAGUAGUACCCUUGCCUGAAUAUCUUAUUAGCCAGCGUUUCUGCUCAUUCAUGAGCUCCACACAUUCCCCUGUGUAUCUCUUCCAUCACCUUUAUUGCCUCCUCCGGGCUCACGCAUCGGAGUCACGGGCUGGAUUUUCCUCUUCUGUAUAAAGUCCCCCUUACUGCUUGGUAAUUAGCGGCACGAGCUGCUAUCUUUUUUGCUUCAUCUUUGUCCUCGGGGAGCUUUCCUUUUUCUAGGUACUCCAGGUACGGGGUCAUCCAAGUCUGAUUCUGCUCCACCUGCAAUACAGUGGCCGUUUUGUCAAAGGCAGGUGUGCCAAUAUGCUGUAUGUAUACCUCAUCAAGGAGUUGUUCUAGUUCUUCUCUGGUUAGCCGACUGAGCAAGUCUGCUUCCUCAUUCUCUUCUCGAGGUAUUCUUUGGUAUUUAACUGUGACUCCCCGACCCUUGAGCUCGGCUUCUAUGGCUUUUACCUUUGCCAGGUAAUUCUGCAUGGCUGGGUCUCUGGCCUGAUACGCCCCGGUUAUCUGAUUAAUCACCAGCUGGGAAUCACUAUUCACUUCGAGGUCGGUUGUCCCUACCUCCAUUGCUACCAGCAUCCCAUUUAUUAGGGCUUCAUACUCUGCCACAUUAUUAGAGGCCUUAAAUUCUAGGCGCAAGGCAUAGCAGACUUUGAAUUCUUCAGGUCCCUUCAACAUUAUUCCUGCGCCACUGCCUCCAGCGCCUGAUGCCCCGUCAACAUACAACUUCCAGCUAAACUCCUGAGAGGACUGCCCUUCUCUCUCAUUUUCUAACUGUUUCGAAGAUGGUUCACCUUGUUCGAUCUGUUCUUCAUUGAAUGAACACUCUGCUAUGAAGUCAGCAAGGGCCUGAGAUUUUAUGGUUGUCCGAGGUCGGUAUUCUAGACAGUAAGGGCUAAUCUCAAUGGACCAAGCCAACAUCCGACCUGAUGUUUCUGGUCUGUGGAGGAUCUUCUUUAGAGGCUGGUCUGUCAUCACUACUCCCUGGUGGCUUUCCAGAUAGACCCUAAACCUCCGGACUGCUAGCAACAGAGCGUAUGCCAUCUUCUCGAUGUUCAAAUAUCUGAUCUCGGCAUCUUUAAGCACCUUGCUGACAUAGAAGACAGGCUUCUACUCCCCUCCUUCCACCCUAACCAACACGGCACUGACGGCUUAUUCUAAGGCUGAUAAAUAAAUCAGGAGCUCUUCUCCCUCUAUCGGACUGUUGAGCACAUGAGGCGAGCUAAGAUAACUUUUGAGCUCUUUGAAAGCUUCUCGGCAGUCCUCAGUCCAUUUGAAGUUCGGCACUUUCCUCAACUUCUUAAAAAACGGCAAGCAUCUUUUGGCCGACCUUGACAUGAAGCGAUUGAGCGCCACCACUCUCCCGGUAAGUCUCUGGACGUCUCUUACGCAGGUUGGCUCUGGCAUGUUCAAGAUAGCUUUCACUUUCUCAGGAUUGGGCUCAAUGCCUUUCCCACUUACCAUGUACCCCAGGAAUUUUCCUCCCCUGAUGAAGAAGGCACAUUUCGCUGGGUUCAGCCUCAUUCUGUACUGUUUAAGCACCUCGAAUACCUCCCUCAGAUCUACCAUGUGCUGUUGGAAGGUUGGGCUUUUGACCACCAUAUCAUCUACAUAAACUUCUACAUUCCUGCCGAUCUGACUUUUGAAGAUUUUGUUCAUCAGUCUUUGGUAUGUUGCCCCGGCGUUCUUCAGCCCGAAAGGCAUGGCCUUAUAGCAGUAGGUCCCAUCCUCCGUUAUGAACAAGGUUUUUUCUUCAUCCGACCUGUCCAUUGGAAUUUGGUGGUAACCAGACAUAGCAUCCAAAGACGACAUAUAAUCAAAACCGGCCGUAGAGUCGACCAUUUUAUUAAUAUCAGGGAGGGGGUAACAAUCUUUGGGGCAUGCUUGAUUUAGGUCAGUGAAGUCUAUACACAUCCUAUAUUUGCCAUUGGCUUUUUUGACUAAUACAGGAUUUGCUAACCAUUACCACUUCCCUAAUAAACCCGGCCUCUUCUAGCUUUCGUACCUCCUCCCUGGUGGCCUGUUGUUUUUUCCUUCCUACCACCCUUUUCUUCUGCUUCACCGGCCUGGCUUCUGGGAGGACAUUCAGCUUGUGCGUCAUUACUCUAGGGUCAAUCCCGGGCAUGUCAGAAGGCUUCCAGGCGAAACUUGACGCGUGACCUCGGAUCAGGGCCAUGACCUCGGUUUUCUGCUCUUUGGUGAGGCCGGCAUUGAGACUGAAGACUUUAUCUGCCUCUGCUUCUGAUAAGGGAAAAGUCUCCAAUUCUCCGACCGGCUCUGUCCUGGCCUCUUUCUUUUCGUCCCUGACCUCAAGCACCUCUGAGUCUAGCUUCUCUCCUACCGAGCUCGGCUCUGCCACUGCGGCUAGGUACACCGCUCUUGCCUCUUCCUGGCUUCCCCUGACCACUCCCACUCCUUCCUCCAUUGGGAAUUUCAUGGCCAGGUAUCUGAUGCUUGUGACGGCCUCGAAAUCGAAUAGUGCAGGUCUUCCCAGUAUUGCGUUGUAGCUCAGGGAGAGUUUGACCACUAAGAACACCGCGUAGUGGGUGCGAGUUCUUGGCGUUUUGCCUAAAGUGAGAGCCAGUUUUACCUUCCCCUCCACGGGUACUGGGACUCCUCCAAUCCCCUUGACCGGUGCCUGAUCCCGGACCAACUGUUCCUCAGGGAUUCCCAUUUGUUGAAAAACUCUGUAGGGUAGCAGAUUCACCUUGCUUCCAUCAUCCACCAAGAUCUUCUUCACCCGGUAGUUGUGAAUGAUGGCUUCAAUGACAAGGGCGUCGUCAUGAGGCAUUUGAACACCCUGAGCAUCCUCCGGAGAGAAAGUGAUGGCCAUAGGAGUAUGCUCGACGACCUGCAUGACUUCGGCGCUGCUGCUUUCUCCCUCUCGACUCCUCUUUCUUCCCCUUCAGCUCAUCCGACCUCCUGACCCUCCGACAAUCAUGUUGAUGGUCCCACUGGACCCAUCAUUCACUGGUCCUGCUCCCGCUCUCCUGGGGGUUUGACCGCUGGGUUGGGCUGAGGCCUCUGUCCCUCCGGUUUCUUCACAAAGUUUCUGAGGUGUCCUCUUUUUAUCAGCCUCUCGAUCUCAGCAAUCAACUGGUAGCAGUUAUUGGUGUCAUGGCCAUGUGUACGAUGAUACUGACAGUAUUUGUCAGGAUCUUGCUGGUUUGCUUCAGCUUUCAUAGGUCUGGGCCAUUGAAGGAACUCCUUGUCCUGUACUGCCAUGAGCACCUCGGCUUUGGAGGCGUUGAGCGGGGUCAGGUUCUCUGGAAUCCACGGAGGGAGCGAUUUCUGUUCUGGGACCCUAGGAGGGAGGGGUCUUUGGUCCCUUCGCUCCCAAGGCUGUCUGUAGGGCUCAGGCCUUCUGCCUUGCUUCUUCUCCUGCUUUUCCGGCCUCCUUUCCUCCGGGGCUUUCCCCUUAUCUGCCACUCCUUUGGCGAACCUACUUAUCAUCAAGGCAUCAUCCUGCCUUAUGUAUUUCUCUGCCCUCUUCAUCAGUUCGGCCAGUGAGGUAGGAGGCUUCCUGCUCAAUGAGUCAAAGAACUUGGGCGAGGUCGUCCCUUUCUGCAUGGCCUCCACUGCUCUACCCUCAUCUAGCUCAGGAAUCUGCAAGGCCUCUGUAUUGAAAUGACCAACGUAUUCCCUGAGCAGUUCAUCCCUUCUCUACCUGACUGUCUCCAGAUAACUUGUCUUUCUGUCUGCAGGCACCCCGACAAUGAAUCGGCUGAUGAAGCGAGUGGCCAGAUCUCCAAAGCUUCUGAUGCUUCCGGUCUCAAGGCUGUUAAACCAUGCCCGUGCUGGCCCCGAGAGCGUCGUUGGGAAUACCUUGCACAUCAAGGCAUCUGAUAAAGUCUACAGUUCCAUGAAAGUUUUGUAGUUCAAGACGUGCUCUCAGGGGUUCCCAGCUCCGUCAUAUGCGGCCAUAGGCGGCAUCAUAAAUUUUUUGGGGAUGAUCUCCUGCUGCACCCACUUUGAGAAGGGCGAAGAGUUUGGCUGGGGUCCUUCGCCCCUAACUCGGCCAAAAGCUGCUCUCUCAUCUUCUGCAACUUUUGAUCUAUGCUCUCUUCUUCAUGUCUGGGCCUUUUUUCCAAGCGACAUUCCUCCUCCCAUGCCUCGCUCCCUGUUCUUCCGGUUGUUCCGGCAGAGUAACUACCGGCCUCAUCAUUCCCUAUCAGCUCCCUCACCCUCCUUCCGUGGACUCGGACCUCUGGUUCUUCCUCUCCCCCGGUUCUUCGCCCCCUUUCUCCGUUUUCUCGGCUGACGGCUUGAGGGUGAUUGAAGGUAGGUUGAGGUUCAUUGGUCUGGGGUUCUUCUACUACUGGCGACACAUUCGCAGGGGUGCUAAGGCCCCUCUGUUGCAACAUCUGCCCCAGCCAAUGGGCGGUGUUUUGUAACUGGAGGGCCAUGGCUUGGAGGUCCUGGUUGGAUAAGACAGCUCCAGACAUGUUCCCUGCCGGGUUCGGCGAGGGGUUGAAGGGGAUGGGUGGUUGGUUGUUUGGAGUUGUAGGACUGGAGAAAGAGAACUGCUGCCCCUCUUGGACAGAGUUCAGGUCAUUGGGAGUGUUAAUAGUAUUGUUUUCAUUGUGGUUAGCUAUCGUGGAUCUCAGUGGGUAUUGUAAGAGUGGAACUCCGGCGAUGAAAAGAUCUCCUUCAUCCCCACAGACGGCUCCAAUUGAUGAUAUGAGAUCCAUAAAAAUAGGGUUUUACAAGGGUUCUGUAAACUUAGCAAAAACUUAGGUCUAGAGGAGGGCAACCCUCCUUUUAUCUGUUUUCUUUUGUCCGCUAGUGAUGUAUAAUAAACUGUCUAUCAUUGGGCCACCUGUCCCUGCCAUGUUGAUUCGAACGUACGAGAAUAUCAUAUCCCUGCCCCAUGCGUAACGGCCUCUGAUUCUCCCCGAGCGCGCGUGUGGAUGGACCCACAAGACAGAUGGGUUGAUCUCCUUCCUGGUUCCGGGCUGGGCCGAAAGAUAAGAUUAAAGCGGGGCCCAGAGGGGAUCUGCUUGAGGGGCUAUGAAGGCUGGGACGGCCUGGUUGAGAAAUUCAGAUGGAGCCCGGUCUCAAGGCUUGAGCGGACUGGAUCUGGUUUGCGUGGGAGGCAUGAGUAGGGGUGAGCAGUAUUCGGUUCAAACCGAAAAAACCGACCGAACCGAACCGAUUUGAGAAUUUAGUUCGAUUUUUUUUACAUUUCGGUUCGGUUCGGUUUUUAAUUUCAGAAAUUUUAGUUAUUUCGGUUCAGUUCGGUUUUGAUCAGAAAAAAUCGAAAAAACCGAACCGAAUCGAUUAGUGAUAAUAAUAUGUUUUUUCAAUAAUAUAGAGAAAUUAAAUCAUAUUAAAAUUAAAAUAUUUUAAUUAAAUUUUAAAAUAUUAAAAAUAAAGUGUAAAAAAUAAAAAAAUUAUUAAAAAUGAAAUUGAUAAAACCGAAUUGAAUCGAACCGAAUCAGAUCGAUUUGGUUCGAUUUGAUUUCUAACCAAAAUCGGUUCGGUUCGAUUUUCAUAAACACUAAAAUUUCAUUUUCAGUUUAUUCGGUUCCGAACCGAUCGAAUGUUCACCCUUAGACAUGAGGGUCUCCAGAUGAUGGGCUAUUGUCAUGGGCCUGACCCCAAACCGGGAUAAAAAAACUCAGUGGUCAUCAUCUUGUAUUUUAAUUCAAAUUAAUGGUGUAAUUUAUAUAAAUUUAAAAUUAUUAUAUCUACUUGAUUACAUUUUAGUAUAGUCUAAAAUAAAACAUUAUGAAAAUUAAUUAAAAUUAUUUCCGUGACUUUGAUAUUUUAAAGCUUUUCAUCGAUUUUUAUGCAAAAAUAAAUAAAAAAGUAAUUUUUUAUUUCAAUAAAAAAUGAGAAAUUUAUAUUUGAAAGAUAGAUUAAUAUCUUAUUAAUUCAUUUUUAUAAAGGAAUAGCAAAAAGAAUAAUAAAUUUAUCUUUUUAUUUUUUCAAGUUUUGAAACAAAAAUUAUCUCACAUCUAAUUAGAUUUAAAAUAUUAUCAUUUUUUUUCUAAUAAGGCUGAUAUUUUUUUAAUUUUUUUAUUAUAUUUAAUAAAAUAUAUGAAAAAUAUUUGUAAAUAAUAAUAACAUAUAUAUAAUAAACUUAAAUAAUAUAUUAUUUUGUUUAUUAUUGAUAUAAGUAAUAAAUUAUUUAUAUAAUUUAUGAUUUGAUUUUUUUGAAUGGAUAAUUUAUGAUUUUAUAUUUAUAAAUGAAAAAAAAAAACUCCUACCCCUUAUUUGAUCCAAAUCAAUUAUUUUUAAAAAGUAAACUUUCUAAAAAGUAAUUUAAUUAAGUGAGGGAAAGUAACUCCUUUCGCUUCUAUCAAGCGAAGAGGUGCUCUAAAAAAUUAUUAACCGCACAAAUAGAAUUUUAACGCUUUCUCAAAUUUGAAAUUAUUUAGUUGACUUAUCUCAACUAAAUAAAAUAUUUUUUAUAUUUUUAAAAUUAUUUUUAGUCAUUUUAUAGGAUUAUAUGGUUAUUUAUAUAUUGAAUCAUAGCAUAUAAAUAAUUACAAAUAAAAGUGUAUUUAUAUAUAUAUAAUUAUUAACCAGUGAUUCCAAAAAGGUUUAAGGAAUGGUGUUUAUAAAAUUUAAAAUAUUUUUCUCUUUUUUAAUAAUUUUUAAGAUUAUCAAUUUUUAAUUUGUACAAAAUAAAAAUUUAAAAAUUUAAAUAUUUAUAUAAAAUUUAAAAGUGUACAGAGAUAGUUAUUAUUUUAUACAUUAGAGUUUCUAAAAUAAUCAAUAAAAGGAAGGUAAAAGUCAAUAUGGUAUGAUGUUUUUUAUUAAAAUUAUAUUAAAAUAUUGACACAAAAAUUUUUCUGUAUUGGAGUAUUCAGAUAAUAUUAUUCUAUUAAUAUUUAUUAAUUAUAAAUUUUUUAUUCAAAUAAAUUUUAAUAUAUUAAUAAAUUAUUUAUAAUAGAAAAUAAAUAAAUAUAAAUAUUACAAUAUAUUAAUUAUAAUGAUUAUUUUUAUAUAAUAAAAAUGUGUAUAUACAUUAAAAAUUAUAUUUUAAAUAUAUAUAAAAUAAUAUAUAUAUAUAUAUAUAUAUAUAUAGUAAAAAAUUGUAUAAUUAGUCAAUUUUAAGAUAUAAUUAGUCGAUCACUACGAGAGUGAGCGGUAUUCGGUUUAAAUAACAAAAAAUUAACCGAACUAAAUUAAUUUAAAAUUUAAAAUAUUUUUAAGUGUAAAAAAUAAAAAAUUUAUUACAAAUCGAAACUGAUCAAAUCAAAUCAAAUUAAACCGAUUCAGUUUGAUUUGAUUUCUAAUCAAAAUCAAUUCGAUUCGAUUUUCAUAAAUAUUAAAAUUUUUCGAUUUAUUCGGACUUUUUGCUUUUUUAAGUUAAAAAUAAAAAUUUCUCAAACCAUAAUCUGAAAAAUAAUUUUUCCGAAUUAGGGUAAAAAGUGACUACCGCAUUCUAAAAAUGCAGUAGAGUCUACCAGAAUAAGUAAAAAAAAAAAAUUUAUUUAGAUGCGGUAAUGCAUGAGCCGCACUCAAUGAGUAUAAAUUUAAUUUUUAUUUAAUUAAUUAUUAUAUUUAUUUAAUUAUAUAUUAAAUUUAUAAAAUAUAAUUAUAAAAAUUAUAAUAAUAUUAUUUAAUAAAUUUUUAUUUAAUUAAUUAUUNNNNNNNNNNNNNNNNNNNNNNNNNNNNNNNNNNNNNNNNNNNNNNNNNNNNNNNNNNNNNNNNNNNNNNNNNNNNNNNNNNNNNNNNNNNNNNNNNNNNNNNNNNNNNNNNNNNNNNNNNNNNNNNNNNNNNNNNNNNNNNNNNNNNNNNNNNNNNNNNNNNNNNNNNNNNNNNNNNNNNNNNNNNNNNNNNNNNNNNNNNNNNNNNNNNNNNNNNNNNNNNNNNNNNNNNNNNNNNNNNNNNNNNNNNNNNNNNNNNNNNNNNNNNNNNNNNNNNNNNNNNNNNNNNNNNNNNNNNNNNNNNNNNNNNNNNNNNNNNNNNNNNNNNNNNNNNNNNNNNNNNNNNNNNNNNNNNNNNNNNNNNNNNNNNNNNNNNNNNNNNNNNNNNNNNNNNNNNNNNNNNNNNNNNNNNNNNNNNNNNNNNNNNNNNNNNNNNNNNNNNNNNNNNNNNNNNNNNNNNNNNNNNNNNNNNNNNNNNNNNNNNNNNNNNNNNNNNNNNNNNNNNNNNNNNNNNNNNNNNNNNNNNNNNNNNNNNNNNNNNNNNNNNNNNNNNNNNNNNNNNNNNNNNNNNNNNNNNNNNNNNNNNNNNNNNNNNNNNNNNNNNNNNNNNNNNNNNNNNNNNNNNNNNNNNNNNNNNNNNNNNNNNNNNNNNNNNNNNNNNNNNNNNNNNNNNNNNNNNNNNNNNNNNNNNNNNNNNNNNNNNNNNNNNNNNNNNNNNNNNNNNNNNNNNNNNNNNNNNNNNNNNNNNNNNNNNNNNNNNNNNNNNNNNNNNNNNNNNNNNNNNNNNNNNNNNNNNNNNNNNNNNNNNNNNNNNNNNNNNNNNNNNNNNNNNNNNNUAGAUAUGAAAAAUAUAAUAUUUUAUCGUAAAUAAAUUAAAAUAAUUAAUAUUUAUAAUAAUAUUAAUAUAAUUUUUAUAAUUAUAUUUAUAUAAAUUUAAUAUAUAACUAAAUUAUAUAAAUUAAUAAAUAUAAUAUUAUAUUAUAAAUAAUUUAAAUUAAUUAAUAUUAAUAUUAAUAUAAAUUUUUAUAAUUUUAUUUUAUAAAUUUAAUAUAUAAUUAAAUAAAUAAAAAUUAAAUUUAUAUUCGUAUUGCAUUACCGCAUCUUAAAGAUGCGGUAAUAUAUUUAAAUAAAUUUUUUUAUUUAUUCUUUCUUACUGCGUUUUUGAAAUGCGGUAAGCGUUAUCGCAUGUUUUAAAAUAUAGUAUAAUUACUUUUUAUCCUAUGAAAAAAUUUUUUUUUUCUAAUUUGAAAAAGCAAAACGCCCGAUUUAUUCAUACCGAAUAAACAUCUCUACCCACUAACAGUUUUAGCUAUUAAUAACAUUUUAUCAAUUAUUAGCUUUUAGAUGUAUUCCACAAUUAAAACAAAUAGACUUAUAUUAUUGUAUUUUAGAUCUGCACUACAUUUAAAACUGUUUUACAUUAAUUGAUAACUGUUUUUGCUUUAUUUUUUUAUUAGGCUAUAAUAUUCCUUUUAAAUUUUAUUAAUUAUAAUUUUUAUACUCAAAUUUAAUUAAUUAAUAUUUUUUAAAUUUAUUAUAUUAUUAUAAAAAAUUAAUAUAUGUUAAUAUUAAUUAUUUUAUAUAUAAAUAAUAAUAGUUAAAAAUAAUUUAUCAAAUACCUAAUAUAUAUUAAAUAGAAUCAGCUAUCAUUAGUCAUCAAUUAUAAUCCACUAUCAAUUAACCACUUUAUUAACUAUAAAUCAUAUUCUACACUUAAAUAAAACGAGCUUAAUUGUUGUCUUUCGAAGAUAAAAUUCAUUUUUGAAUUAUAAAUUCGUAAAUUUUUGUGUUUGAUAGACUUAAGCACUAUUUGAUUUAAAUAAAAAAAUUAAUUAAAUCAAUUUAAUCUAGUAAUUCGUUACGGUUUAUAUAGUAAAUUGGUUCAAUUUGAUUUUAUUUUUAAAAAUUUUUAGUUUAAUAAGUUUGAUUCCUAAAAUUUAAUGUUUAAUUUUUUUAAUUCGAUUUAAUUUUUAACCGGAUUGAUCACUGCUCGGAUUAAUCGGCGAGGUUUGUCGGGCGACUAGUUUUGAGCUUAAUGUAAUGUUUUUUUAAUUAUAUUUAGUUAGGAUCUGCUGAUUAUCUCUAUGGUAUCAUAACCGGGCUUUGCUCUUCUUAUGAAUUAACCGUUAUCUAAAAAAAAAAUUAAUGGUUCGUUUUAUACGAAAACUGCUGAAAAGUCUUCGGAAAAGUUGGCAUCUGACGGCACCGACCAUAAAGUAUGAAGAAGUUUACGCUAUAUAUGCAUAUGAAUAAUACUUAAUUUUUUUUUUGGGAAAAAAAGGAUAAUAGUUAAAUUUUUCUUGAUGUUACUAAAUUUAGGUGUUAUAUUAUAUAAAAAAUUAAAAAAAUUAUUAUUUAAUUUUUAUCUUAUAAAACUCAGUCAUUUUAUUUUAAAAAAUAUAUUAAAAUAUUUUUAAAAAUUUAUUAAUUUAUUUUUUCAUUAAUUUUAAUAAUUAAAUAUUUUAUUAUAUAAUAUCUAUAAUUUUAAAAAAUUUAUUAAUUAAUAUUUUAAAUUUUUAAAAGUCUAUUUACUAUUUUUUUUUAUAAUAUUAGUAUUUUAAUUUUUUUUUAUAUUUAACGGUUAAAAUUAUAAAAAAAAUUAAUUAGUAAAAUUUUUAAAAUAUUAUAUAUAUUUUAAUAUAUUUUUUUAAAUAGAGAUUUAAAUAGAUAAUUUUUUUAAAAUAAUUUAUUUAUAAAUAUAAAAAUUAUUUUAAUUUAUUAUAAUUGGUUUCUUACUUAUGAUUAUUAUUUUUUGAAAUAACUUAUUAUUGGUAUGCUUUAUUUCAUUUAUAGCGUUUUUCUUUUUUACAUAUUUCUACCAUGAUAUAUGCACAUCGGGUACCUUUGAUCCUGCAGGGUGUAGCUAAGUAUACUUGGAGUAGGACCGCUUUCUCUGGAAUUUACCCAUGAAAAAAAUGACUGUCAACGGUCAGCAAUGGCAGAUUCAACGCCCGUUUAUUCCUCAAUUCCAUGCUCAGAACAUCCCCCAUGUUCGGAAAUGUAGUCUUUUUCCACUCUUCACUCGAAAUUGCUCCCUCAAGUCUUCAGGUUUGAUUCCUCCAUAAAAUUUUGUAUCUUUGAUAGUCUGGUUGGUAGAAUUUUCUACUUGAUUGCUAUGUAUAUUUGUUUUUUAGAGUUGUGUGUGGGUUUCUCAGUUCAGUCAAACCCCCAUUCUAAGUGUGAGUUUGAGUUUCUUCAUCUUCUUUUCUCCAUUUUUUUUUUGUUUUAUUGAUUUUUCUUGGCAUCGUUUAAAUGGGUUUCUGUUCUUUCAAAUGAGUUGCUUGAAUUGAUAUUGUAGUAGUUGGGAGUCCCAGAAUUUUAGUCGGCAGAUGCGUAUCAGAGAAGUUUUCGGAUCAUUUCGAGCAGGAUGCAGGCCAGAAUUUUAUAACCGAACAAAAGGUGCAUACAUUUUUUGUUUGUUGUAUCACCAUGCUCUUCCUGUACUGAGUUUCUGCAUUAAUUUAUUGGACUAGUAACAGAGCUACUGUGCAUAAGAUUUCCCAAGCGUUUGCAGACCAAAUUGAAUUCUUGUAACGUAUGGGUUACUGGGUAUUUCGUUGUUGUGAUUACUGAUCUUAGUCACAUGCCUUAUGGUUUCAUUUUUUUUCUUUUUGGUACUUGGAAGGAUUGUAAGAGAAAUAGGAAAUCUUCAGUGAGAUAUAGAGGGUUACCAUAUACAUCCUGACAAAGCAGUAAAGACUAUCUUUUUCAAACAUAACGAGUGUGAACAGCUAUGCAUGAAUAGAUGACAAUAAUGUUAGGCAAAAGAUGUUGAAUUCCACAUUUCUUAAAAUGUUAUCAAAGCUUCCCAUCCAAUGUUGGCCUCCUACAAGUAUUUCAUGGUCCCCAGUUUGGUCAUGGAUGUAAGGAGUGUGUUGAAUUCCAGAUUGGCUUGGCAUAGAGGUAAUGUGCCUCUUGUAAGGUUUUGGACAUUCCUCUCCCUUGAGCUAGCUUAUAGGGAUGAAUUAGGGCAGACCCAUUUUCUUAAGAAAAUGAGAAAACUAUCACAAACUCUGAAAUUAAUUUUACUCUUGUUCCUGUUGUAAUUGCUUUUUUGAACUUGCAUCUGUUUGCUUUCUUUGUUUGCGUUCAUCGCCUUAUAAUUAGUUAUCCCAGGCUCAUAUUGAUGUUACUAGCUGCAUUUCUUAUUUCAGAUGGUUGAGGAGAAGAAUUUUUCUGUACUGAAUAUCUUGAAGCAAUCAAAUUCGCUUCUGCCUCAUGCAGUUCUUGCUAGUACGCUUUUGGCUCUCGUUUAUCCACCCUCUUUCACAUGGUUCACCUCCAGGUUAUUAUAAGUUUCUCUAAAGAAAUCAACAAUUUACUAUGCUUUUGUUUUCAUGAGUAGUUUGAACUUCAAAGUAAAUUUUUUUUUUUAAAAGUUCACUAGGGGUGAGCAAACGAUUGCUUCAGUUUUGAAGAUUAUUAGAAUUAUCAAAAUUGAGCUAAACCAAAAUUCGUCAAGGAACCAAACCAAAAUUAGUCUAUGUAUGUUUCAAUCCACUACUCACAAAAAAGGGAAAUUAGUCAAUAAAUAACCUUAUCAAACUUCAAUUAAAAAAUAAAAUUUCAACUAAAACUUGAAUACAAAUUGAAUAAUUGAAAUAUACAAAAUCAACACAGUGUACAUCAAUUAAAAGAAUCAAUUAUAGAUUAGAUUAAUCGACUUGAAUACAAAAUGAUGCACACAAAAAGUCCAUAUGCACUAUCAAUUACAUCAGUAAAAUAAUAGACUGCACAAGAGGAAAGGAACAUGCAAUUGUUCCAAUAUAGGCAGGAUACAAUCCUAUCGUCCGUUCACUAGUUGCUAAAACCACCACAACACCAACAACUUCUCCAAUCCCUACCUUGAAGGGUGGCAAAACAAGAGCAAAAGGGUGAAAGCUCCAAUACAGCUCGUCAUUUCCAAAGGGAAAAGAAUUGGGAAGAUACCAAUCCUCCAAAAAGAUUGAAGAUACCAAUACAAAAUGAGGUGUUAUGUGAUGUAGUUCCAAUGGCACAAGCCACAUGUUAUUAGGAAGACCUUGGCAAUAUAAUAUGCGAGUAGUAGAACAUAAUGGGUUUAAAAACACUUACUCGUUUGUCAAAGAUGGUUAAAAAAGUUGUUUAAAAAGUUAUUUUUUAACAUUUACGCCUACGUAUAAUGCAUAAGGAAUCACUUGAGAGUGAAAUGAUGAAAAGGGAGAACUUGAUGAUACACAAGGAAUUGGAUUUGAGGACAAAUCCUUUUCAAGAAAGGGGUAUGAUGUGCCCCUACAUGGGACAUUUGAGAUUCCUACUCAUCAUGGAUAUAAACUUGGUAUCUUCAAGCUGCAUGGAAAAUACAUGGCUUGUAGGGAUAAUGGGUCUAAGUAAAGUGAUGUAUUUGGGCCUAUUGGGGUGCAGAAGAUCAAGCCGAGUGGAAAGCCAUGUCGGAACUGUCACUAGGUCCAAGGGUAAAAUUGGUAUUUUGCCAAAAUGUGAAGAAGCUUCUUAUAAUGGAAGAACACCCAAGUGACAUGCAAAGCAUGAGAUUGGCAGAGGGGUUUGGGACUCCUAGAGCAUGUGGAAAAGAAGACCAGUAAAGAAUUUACUUCUUCCUAAAAUUUUUAGCCUUAAAUUAAGGAAACCUAGUUAUAUCCUACUUUCAAGUCCUACAUCAUCUUAAAUAAUAACUAAUUUUAAUCCUAUUUCUUCUUUGUGUGGACAUGUGAGGCUAUUUAAGUGACCACAAGACUUUUUGUUUAGUUAAGUAAUUCAUAUUUAUUUAUGUAGUAGGCUUACUAGUUACUAACCAAGUACUAGUAGGAUUUAAUAGUUUAUUUUAAGCAGGAUGUUAUGUAAAGCCUAUAAAUAGGUUUGUUUCUAAAUGGUUUUGGUUAUUCAUUAAUAAUACAUCAAAUUGCUUUUCAAGCUCCAUUUUUAUCACUUUUUAAGUAUGGUAAAUUCAACUUAUCAUCAUAAUCCAUGGGUGUGGCGUCAAAGUUGUUAAUUUUAUUUGUGGCGUUCUACAUAUCAAAGAUAAUUAAUUCCUAUCUAUCUAUCUAUAAUAUUCUUUUUUAGCUUAGUUAUUGUUAGAAUCAAUAUUAUUGUUUAAAGGCUAGUGUAUCUGAACCAUUACGUUACUUUAAGUAUGUGUUUUGUUCAAGUUGAGAAUAUUUGUAAUGGUUAUUGUUUAAGUCUUUUUUUUUUUUAUGUGAGUUUCUGGCAAAGUGUUGUUUGUUGGUUUAGUGCUUGUGUCCUUGGAGCAAAUAAAAAAUGGAUGGCUAAGGUUGAAUGAAAAUAUUAAAAAUAGAAAAAAUAAUGCUGCGAAAGAUUGAACAUUGAAUCUUUAGUUUGUUAAAGGAGUCCCUUGACCACUAAGCUACAUCCUGACUUGUAAAUAUCAUUUUCAUUUGAAGUACAUGUAUUUUGGUUUGGUUUUUUACCUAUUUUUUUCCUUUGAAGACCAAACAGAAUUAAAUUAUCUAAUAAAUUGAACCAAACUUCUAAUGCAGUUCAGUUUGAUUCAGGUUUUUUGGGUUUUUAACUUAGUUUUUCUCACCCUACUCAAAAGUGUGUAGUACUAAUAGAAAGACAGCCAGCCCUCAUCAUUUUCACUUUUCUAAGUAUCUGCCUGUUUUUUAUUUUUAAAAGAAGUAUAUUGUAGUUCUAGUCUUCUAGACAAAAUUUGGUUGCAUUGUUGAACAAGUCUCAAUUUUUUUUGUUGAAAAAAAGAAGCAUGUGGAUUACAAAGUGUUGACUUAUUUACUAAUCCUAGCUGAUUCUAGAGAUUUGAUUUGAUCUGAUUAGGAUCCUUAAUUAUCUCUGUAAUUAUUAUUUGAUUAUUUGCUUCCUGUUUAGAUAUGAUUCUCUGUGUAUAAAUAGUCAUGUAGAUCAAUUGUAAAGAUUAAGAGUGAAAUACAAGAAUACUCAAAAUUUUCCCCAAAAUUCUUCAUGGUAUCAGAGCCUUUUCCUGAUUUUUUGGGUCCAAAUUCAAUUUUUCCUCUUUAGGGUUUUCAAACCCUAGAUCUACCUUUUUGGUACUAACCCAUUUACGAGCCUCUCAAUCUCUCACCGCCGGCACCAGGAGAACCGCCGGACUGCCGCCGGCUGAUCGACCAGCUCCGACGCCGGAAAAGCCUGCGCGUGAGGCUCACGCGCCACCCCUUCCCGGCGCAUGACCCGUUGCUUCCCAGCGCGUGACCCAUUAUCUGUCACUGCUUUGCUGCUCCGAUCACUCCGGCGACAAUUCCGAUCAUCUUUUCGGCCUUCCCGUGCUGCUACCCGGUCUUUUUGGUGAAUCAAUUGGGCUCUCUUGUGUGUACAACCUUGGAUACCUCCUAUUCUGUCACAGUUUAUAAACCUUUACCAUGGCAGAAGGUAAAAGGGUGUCAAUGACAGAAGGAAAAAGGGUGUCAAUAGCAGAAGGUAAUGCUUCAUCUCUUCAUAAUAUUCCAUGGAUUAUCGAUUCUGGUGCGAAUAGACACAUGACAGGUUCUUCUAAAGGCUUUCUCAAUUAUUUUCCUUCCCUAACCAAAGAUAGUGUCAAAAUUGCUGAUGGCUCUCUUACUCUCAUAUCCGGAACAGGUUCUGUUAUUUGCACAUCCAAUAUUAAAUUAUCAUCUGUCCUCCAUGUUCCCCACUUUCCUGUCAACCUUUUAUCUGUUAGUGCUAUCACCAAUGCCCUUAAUUGUAAAAUUGAAUUCUUUCCUGAUCAUUGUGUUAUUCAGGAUCUUCACACAGGAAAGAGGAUUGGCAAUGGUAGACUGCACGAUGGCUUAUAUAUGUUGGAGGGUGAUCCAAGUUCUUCGAUAUCUCAAGCCUCUUUUGGAGAAAAUAAGGAUGUCAAUCAGGAAAUAAUACAAUGGCACAGACGGUUAGGGCAUCCAUCAUUCUUUGCCUUAGAAAAACUUUAUCCUAAUUUGUUUGCUAGAACUCAGUUUGAUUCUCUAUUUUGUGAUGCUUGUGAGUAUGCUAAACACACUAGAACAUCCUAUCCUUUGAGUCAUAAUAAAAGUCAAAUUCCUUUUGCGACUAUUCAUUCUGAUGUUUGGGGGCCUACUCAAACUGUCUCCUUGUCUGGUAAUCGAUGGUUUGUCACCUUUAUUGAUUGUUGUACUCGAAUGACUUGGGUCUAUUUGAUUAAAGCUAAAAGUGAUGUCUUUUAUUGUUUUCAAUCCUUUCAUAAGAUGGUUUGUACUCAAUUUGAUACUAAGGUGAAAAUUUUGAGAACUGACAAUGGAAGAGAAUACAUGGAUAGUAGCUUUUCUGCUUAUUUGGAGAGUAAUGGGAUAAUACACCAGACUAGUUGUCCUUAUACUAGUGCUCAAAAUGGCGUUGCUGAGAGGAAAAAUAGGCAUCUAUUGGAGGUAGCUCGAUCUCUUAUGUUCACCAUGAAUCUACCCAAAGCAUAUUGGGGAGAUGCAAUUCUUGCAUCUGCUUAUCUUAUCAAUAGAAUGCCUCUCAAGACCCUUGACUUUAUGAGUCCUUUGGCGGUUCUACAAGGGAAGAAUUCAUAUGUUGUUCCACCAAAAGUAUUUGGGUGUGUUUGCUUUGUCCAUACUAGGACGACAGGAAAACUGGAUCCCAAGGCCCUUAAAUGUGUGUUUGUUGGGUAUUCUCCAACACAGAAAGGAUACAAGUGUUAUCAUCCUCCCUCUAGGAAAUACUUCGUUAGUAUGGAUGUUACCUUCCGAGAAACUGAACCCUACUUCAGCACCACCCACUCACCUCUUCAGGGGGAGAAUAAUGAGCAAGAAGAGGUGAUCCCGAAUUCUGUGAUUCUGAAUGAUAUGGUUCAACUAGAAAGUUUGAGUUCUAGUAGACAGGGGGAGAUGUCCAAUCAGGGAGAGAGAACUGGUCGUUUGGACAAGCCAGAUUUGAGAAGGUAUUCAAGGAGAGACAAGGCAGAAGAAGCCAUUAUGCAGUCUACUCAGAGUCAAGAAUCUUCUCAUGGUGAGUUACCCAGUCAUGAAUCUUCUUCUGAUGAGUUACCCACAACUCUUUCUUCUGGUGAGUUACCCACAACUCUUGAAUGUUUCAAUGACUUAGAUAAAUCUAUUGCACAAAGAAAAGGGGUCAGAUCUUGCACUAAACACCCUAUUUCUAACUUUGUUUCUUAUGAAUCUUUAUCUCCUUCCUAUAGAGCCUUUGCCUUGUCUAUUUCCUCUGUGUCUAUUCCACAGGAUUGGAAGAAAGUUUUUGCAGAUCCUAAAUGGAAGAAAGCAAUGAUUGAAGAGAUGAAAGCAUUGGCUAAAAAUGAGACUUGGGAGCUUGUCACUCUCCCACCUGAGAAGAAACUCGUUGGCUGUAAAUGGGUGUUCACAGUGAAACACAAAGCUGAUGGCACAAUUGAACGGUUUAAGGCCAGAUUGGUUGCUAAAGGAUUCACCCAAACCUAUGGAGUGGAUUACCAAGAGACAUUUGCCCCAGUUGCAAAAAUGAACUCAAUCAGAGUUUUGUUAUCUUUCGCAGCCAACUUGGACUGGGACUUGCAACAGUUUGAUGUGAAGAAUGCUUUUCUCCAUGGAGAUUUAGAGGAAGAAGUGUUCAUGGAAAUUCCUCCUGGGUUCGCUGAUGAGAAGACACAAGGAAAGGUGUGCAGGUUAAAAAAGGCUUUGUAUGGGCUAAAACAAUCUCCUAGAGUUUGGUUUGACAGGUUUAGCAGAGCCAUGCUGUCCUUUGGUUACCAACAAAGCAAUGCUGAUCACACUCUGUUUAUCAAACAUCAUAAGGGUAAGAUCACCAUUCUUAUUGUGUAUGUUGAUGAUAUAGUGGUGACAGGUGAUGACAAAGAGGAAAUGGCUCAACUAAAGAGGUUGUUGGCCCAGGAAUUUGAAAUCAAAGAUCUGGGAAAACUGCAAUAUUUUCUAGGUAUCGAGGUGGCUAGAUAAAAAAAAAGAAUUUUCAUCUCCCAAAGAAAGUACAUUCUGGAUCUUUUGGAAGAAACUGGUAUGAUGGGGUGUAAACCAGCAGAAUCUCCCAUUGAAAGCAAUCACAAGCUGAAAGCAGGAACUGGUGAGUCCGUGGAUAUUGGAAGAUAUCAAAGAUUGGUAGGAAGGUUGAUUUAUCUCUCACACACUCGACCGGAUAUAGCCUAUGCUGUUAGCUUAGUCAGCCAAUUCAUGCAUGACCCUCGCGAGACUCAUAUGCAAGCUGUACUUCGCAUCUUGAGAUACCUAAAGUCUGCGCCAGGGAAAGGGCUUCUUUACUCCAAACAUGGUCACCUCCGAAUUGAAACUUUUACAGAUGCAGAUUGGGCAGGAUCUCUCGAUGACAGGAGAUCCACCUCUGGCUACUGCACAGUUGUGGGGGGGAACCUUGUCACCUGGAGGAGCAAAAAACAAAGUGUUGUUGCUCGGUCAAGUGCGGAAGCAGAAUACAGAGCAAUGGCCCAAGGAGUAUGUGAACUCUUAUGGUUGCAGAAGUUAUUGGAAGAGUUGAGAUUGUUCGAGAGAGACAAGAUAACCUUGUAUUGUGACAAUAAAGCUGCUAUAAGUAUAGCACAAAAUCCAGUCCAACAUGACCGAACCAAGCACAUUGAAAUUGAUCGGCACUUCAUUAAAGAAAAAUUAACAGAUGGUAUUUUGAGCCUAGUACAUGUGACUUCUACGGGGCAACUUGCGGAUGUGUUUACUAAAGGACUUAACAACAAGAUCUACCAUAAUCUUAUUUGCAAGUUGGGCAUGUGUGACAUCUUUGCACCAACUUGAGGGGGAGUGUUGACUUAUUUACUAAUCCUAGCUGAUUCUAGAGAUUUGAUUUGAUCUGAUUAGGAUCCUUAAUUAUCUCUGUAAUUAUUAUUUGAUUAUUUGCUUCCUGUUUAGAUAUGAUUCUCUGUGUAUAAAUAGUCAUGUAGAUCAAUUGUAAAGAUUAAGAGUGAAAUACAAGAAUACUCAAAAUUUUCCCCAAAAUUCUUCACAAAGAAAAUAUUAAGAAAAUGAAAUGAAGAAAAAAUGUUUUGUUUAUUGUUGCAAUUAGCCUUUGAUGUGAUUGCUUUCUUGCAUAAUCAAUCAAUUUACUUGUUUAUUUGAUGCACUCAUGGGCAGAAAAUUUGCAUCUAGAAAUAAACCAAAUUGUUUUUUAGCUCCUCUUCCUUUUUCCUCAAGUGCAAAGUGGACAUUAUCUAUACGUCUUUAUGAUGUAUUGAAUUUCAAUUUCUUUUUUCAACUAUAUAUAGAAAUCCUGUGUGAAUUUUCUAUAAAUGUCUGAACAGUAGUGGGGAAAAGUGCAAC